This 372-nucleotide unclassified non-coding RNA is filed under the name Centruroides sculpturatus (bark scorpion). RNAcentral's name for it is "uncharacterized LOC111633854, transcript variant X1". The record is from RNAcentral. Lineage: Eukaryota; Metazoa; Arthropoda; Arachnida; Scorpiones; Buthidae.
UACCUAAAUGAUGGUAGGCUUAUUUGGACAUGCCUGAGGUUCCGAAAAAAUAAGUAAUUUUUAUUUAUGAAACUUAUUAUCUUGCUAAGUAAUUGAAGCCCAGUCAACAAAAAAUCUGGUACCCUUAUAUAAGAAAGGAGAAACAGAAUUAACUGCUACUAUGAAAAAAUUUCUUGCCGAAGGAAAAUUGGUGGAAAUAGAAAAAAGACAUUAUUUUGAAAGAAUGUUUGCAAUUAUAAGUUUCAGCAACACUGUGUUAUUGAAUGUUAAGACAAUAGGAGAAGAAAAUUAUCUGUAUUCUACAGAUAAUCUGUUUAUGCAAUUAGUGUCAUAUGGACUAAGAAAAAAUUUCCCCUUAAAAACAGAAUUUGA